GAUGAAGAACGCAGCGAAAUGCGAUAAGUAGUGUGAAUUGCAGAAUUCAGUGAAUCGUCGAAUCUUUGAACGCACAUUGCGCCCCUCGGUAUUCCGUGGGGCAUGCCUGUUCGAGCGUCAUUUAACCCCUCAAGCCUAGCUUGGUAUUGGGUGCUUGUCCCGCCUCUCGCGCGGCGACUCACCUCAAAGUCAUUGGCAGCCCGCAUCUCGCCGGCCGUGAGCGCAGCACAGACGCGCUCUUGGCAACGACGGAUCGGCUCUCCAAAAGCUUAUUUCAACCACUGACCUCGGAUCAGGUAGGGAUACCCGCUGAACUUAAGCAUAUCAAUAAGCGGAGGA
Molecule: unclassified non-coding RNA, 339 nt
Filed under: soil metagenome
Description: partial contains 5.8S ribosomal RNA, internal transcribed spacer 2, and large subunit ribosomal RNA
Rfam family: 5.8S ribosomal RNA (bases 1-120)
Source: RNAcentral